RNAcentral lists this ribosomal RNA (253 nucleotides) under uncultured bacterium. RNAcentral's name for it is "partial 16S ribosomal RNA". It matches the Rfam family "Bacterial small subunit ribosomal RNA", at positions 524 to 776 of the family's 1533-position model. The record is from RNAcentral.
UACGUAGGGGGCAAGCGUUGUCCGGAUUUAUUGGGCGUAAAGAGCGUGUAGGCGGCCAGGUAGGUCCGUUGUGAAAACUGGAGGCUUAACCUCCAGCUGUCGAUGGAAACCAUCUGGCUAGAGUCCGGAAGAGGAGAGUGGAAUUCCUGGUGUAGCGGUGAAAUGCGCAGAUAUCAGGAAGAACACCCGUGGCGAAGGCGGCUCUCUGAGACGGUACUGACGCUGAGACGCGAAAGCGUGGGGAGCGAACAGG